RNAcentral lists this long non-coding RNA (8333 nucleotides) under Triticum aestivum (bread wheat). RNAcentral's name for it is "long non-coding RNA (TAES_LNC016439)". Lineage: Eukaryota; Viridiplantae; Streptophyta; Magnoliopsida; Poales; Poaceae. The record is from RNAcentral.
UUUGACGUAGGUUGCUAUAGGAUCACUUCUUGGUCAUACUUUUAUCGACCGUGCUUUGCCUUCUCUUCUCGCUCUCAUUUGCGUAUGUUAGCCACCAUUUAUGCUAGUCGCUUGCUGCAGCUCCACCUCAUGCCUUUACCUUACCCAUAAGCUUAAAUAGUCUUGAUCUCGUGGGUGCGAGAUUGCUGAGUCCCCGUGGCUCAUAGAUACUUCCAAAACCAGUUUGCAGGUGCCUAUGUUACCGAGCAGGUGACGCAACCAAGCUCAAGGAGGAGCUCGACGAAGAUGUUGCCCUUUGUGUUGUUUCGUUCUAGUUGAUCAGUAGUGGAGCCCAGUUGGGGUCGAUCGGGGACCUUUGUCGCAUUUGGGGUUCUUCUUUUAUUUUGGUUCUAUAGUGGGACCUUGAUUGUAUCUGGAUGAUGUAAUGCUUUAUUCAUGUAAUUGUGUGAAGUGGCGAUUGUAAGCCAACUAUGUAUCUCUUUCCCUUAUGUAUUACAUGGGUUGUGUGAAGAUUACCUCACUUGCGACAUUGCUUUCAAUGCGGUUAUGCCUCUAAGUCGUGCUUUGACAUGUGGGAGAUAUAGCCGCAUCGAGGGCGUUACAAGUUGGUAUCAGAGCCUUCCCCGACCUUAGGAGCCCCAUUGCUUGAUCGUUUUUAGCGGCCGAGUUGUGCCUAGAAAAAUGUUUGAGUCAUUUAGGAUUAUAUAUAUCGGAGAGUUAGGAAUUCUUUUUACUCCCCAGUCUCUCCAUCGCUCUAGUAAGGCAUCCUGACGUAGAGUUUUGACUCUUCUCUUCUCAAAUUUCACUAAAUUUUUUUUAGGAUCACGCGGGUAUCUUGGAAUCAUUCCGAUGGUUUUAUGAUGAGAACAUUGUCUUGGUGCCUCCUGUCAGGGGUUUAGUGGAAGUGUCCCGGGGAGUUGAGCUCUGAGGUAUUGUCGUCAUAAUUUUAUCGUUGCAGUUCUGGAAUACCUGAGUUUAGUACGCCGAGAUCGAAAAUCUCUUUUAUGCAGUUGUUGGUGAGAUAACCCCGAUAACCCAGUACUGAGGUGAGUACGGGAGUAUUGCCAUGACUCGUGUAACGGAUGCUUUUCGAAGGUUGAGGUAGACGAUUUCCGAAGGUUUCUUGGUUAUGUGUUGAAGGAUGGAUACAGCUGGAUGUAGGAUUUGCUAGUUUUGGGUGAGAUAUUAUGCUUCCCCUGUAUCCCCAACACCUGAUUGCAUAAUCGGAAAAUUUCGGGAGUUUCAUAGGUGGGUAUUCAAGUAGCUCUUAGGAUAUCUUUCCGACGGAUGUAUGAUAUGAAAUUGGGGUUCGACGUCUAGUGGUCCGCCUAUUCACGGUUGGUUUUACAGUGGUCUCGUUGUGUCUUAAAGAGUCCUUGGCUAUGCCGACUCGGGGACGCUUCAUAUGUCAUGUGCACUGCCUUGUACAUGAUGGUGCUGUACGAUCGAGCCCGUGUAGGCCCCACCACGAAAACUUCGGACGAAAUCUCUAUCAUAUGUUUGUUCCGGCUUAUUCUGCAAGCCAGUCCUUUGUUUUUUGUUUUGAGUUGUGGUAUUCGAGUUGCUUCAAUGUCAAGUGUUGAUUCCAUACCUUUCCGAAAUGGUGUUCUCAUACUCCGAUGUGAAUACCAAUCCUUCUCGACAAUCGAGAUUGUCAUGUCAAUCCUUUUCAACCGGCGUGUUUCUCUUCAAGUGGAUCCGAUCACUUCAACAUCAGCAAGACCAAUUAUCAUUUCUUCUCAACGAUGUUUGUUUCAUCCGUCUCCAAGUUGCCUUUGUUUUUCCCGACCACCCACCCUUUUUCCUCAAGGACUAAGAUUUCUUUACCAAGUAUCCAUUUAUUCAUGUGAAGUCUCUCCAUUCUUUUCCGUCAAUGUUCUUAUCCGGUGAUUCUCAGGAAGAUACUAACGGAGCUUCAAGUUUAUUAUUCUUUGUCUCUUUUCUUCUCCGGUGGAUUCAAUUCAAGCUUUCGGUUUUCAUCAUAUUCCUUUCCUCGUUUCUAAUGCUUUCUCAUGCCGAUGCACCUCUUAAUCAUUCACUUCUCACUAUUCAUUUGUUCCGGAGUGCUUAAGAUUUUCUCAGGAAGAUUUGUGUUUCCAUUCUCAAUCCGUUCAAGUUAGUUUGAGGUUGUUAUCUCAUUUAAGCCAUUUAUUUCAACCGGUGCAAUCCCCCCUUUUCAAUCAAUCAUUCAACGGUGUUUUCCUUUGAGUGGGCCCUAACCCACAGGUCUUUUCCCAGGAUCUUACCUGACUCUUCUAUUUUCCCAGAGCUAUCCUAAAUUCUUCUCCAAGUUUGACGUAAGAAUGAGUUAUCAUCAGUCAAAUACUUUUCUCCAAGAUCUUUCAAAUUCUUUUCAUAGUUGGCUCAACCUCUUCGCUUUUGAUUCUUCCGGUGUGCCUCAAUAAUUCUUGGUGGUGUUUCUCGUUGUCAUUCUCAUCAUUUGAAGACCGAAGAAGAGUUUCUCUUUAAUCUUGCUCUAUUGUCUUCAAGAUUCAUGGUUCUAGCUUUAUGCCAUCCUCAUAAUUGUUUUUGAUUGUGACAAUUCUCUUCUUACCAUCAGGAGCAUUUCAUGAGUUGUUUCAAUUUCUUUCCUUUGAAGCCGUCAUGUCAUAAUUCUUCAUUCUCACCGUGUAGCUAUCGUUCUCCAAAUCUUACCGGUGCAUCGUUCAAAUAUCCUCUAAUCAGUUCAUGAUCUCUUCAUUCUCAUGUAUCUAAAUCCCCUCAAGUAUCUUCAUUCGUUUUACAAUUCUUCCCGGUGAAUUGUGCCUUUGCUACUUUCAUUUUGAAUUCUUACGGUGGUUCACUCAAGAUUUCACUUCCUUCGUUAUCAUAUCAAAUAUUCGUUGUUCCCAAAUCCCACUGGUGGUUCCAUCAAUACCUUCUCAAGUUUACGCCAUAUCUCUUUAAUCCUUUCUACGAGAAUAAGUAGUAUGCCAAAUCCAUUGCUUGUCAUCAAUUUAUAUUGGUGAAGGAUACGCAUAACAUAAUUCUUAUUCUUGUUUCAUCCAAGUGAUUAAUCCCUUCCUUCAGAGUUUGUUCAGGAGGAAUAAAUUCUUGGUUUCUUGUUGUUCAUCUUUCUUUCGGAGUUCCAAGUUUUCCGCAUUAUCUCGUCGCGAAGCUCCAUCUAAAUCAUUGCAAGGCUUCUUCUCGUUCUUUUCAACUUUCCUUUCGUUGGAUCUUUCUUUUAUUAACGGAGUUCUUCAUGGAGGCUCUAUAUGGUGGUUCGUCAAGGAUUCUUUUCAUUCUUCAAUUGUUCGUCAAGAUUUCUCUUGAAGUUAAGAUCCUCCAAGCUAUACUCUAAGAUAAACAUGGUGCUCAACACAUGUCUUGUUUUGAGGAGUUCAAGCAUUCUUCAUCUUGCAUUCCAAAGUGCAAUUCUUUCUACCUCAUCUUCUGAGGUGGUGUUAGGUCAUUCUUGAUAAUUUCCCUUCGCGUUUCAUGAUUCACAAGUUUUCAAGAGUGACAUAUCUAAAUCCAUCUUUUUCUCUUUGUUCAAGAGAUCUUUUCAACCGUCAAUCUCUUCAUUGGAGUUAUCUUGGUAUAGAUUUCACCUAAAGCCUUCCCUAAGGAAUGUUGCUAUUUUGGUGCUUAUUAAUGACCCAAGUUAUCUCUUUUCCAUCUUGAUGGAACAAGCUUUCAUCUCUUCGUUAAUCUCAAGCAAGCAAUUGUUUCCGUUAGUGGCCGGUUGUCACCUCAUAAUGUUGAGAUGUUUCCAUAAGCCCACUACAAACUUAUUCUUUUUGUUGUUGGUCUUCCAACAACUCUAUUCUAACCUUCUUGCAAGGAUGCCUUCCAAAUUCAAUUGUGGUAGAAGUUGGCAUUUUCUUCUCCAUUCUGUUAUUCCAAUGAUCUAUCUUCUAUUCUUUCUUCCGGAGGCAUUGUGAUGUUGCUCUUUUCACUCAUCAUCUCGAAUUGUGAGGACCAUGUUCUUUUCGUGCUUAUCCAUUUAACUGGAGUGUUGUGUCAUCUCUUAAAGUUCUUUUCAUCUUAUCAAGUUUUGCAUCUCUUUUCAACCGGAGUGUUGUUCGAAUUUGAUCUUCCUUGUUCCUUGUUUAUCUCGUUUCAACCAGAGUGGUUUCAAUUCCUUCUUGUCCAUUGUACUCAUCAUUCAUAGCUUUGCAACCUCCAAGGUUCACAUGGUGUUCCUUGUUUCUAUUUUCUACCGCAGUGCUCUCAAUUGUGUUCAACUCUGUUGUGUUCUUUCUUUCAAGUUUUUCAACCUCUCAAGGAUCGUGGUUUCACUCGUUUGUCAAAGAAGCAACUUAGUUUUACCUCUUCUCUUCCUCUUCCAUUUCUCUCCGGUGCCAUCCUAGAUCUCGAGACGAGAUCCUCUUAUAGUGGUGGAGUGUUGUAACGCCCCGAGACCGACGCUCCAGAUGCCUUCCUUGUAUUCCGAGAUUCGUCGUGUGAUUUAUUUGUUUGAUGCAUUCAUCAUUGCAUCAUUUGCAUUGCAUCAUGCCAUCAUGUCAUUUAAUUUUUUAAAAACUCAACUAAAUAAAUGGCAUGGAUCUUUGAUCCAUUUAAAUCGAGGGAAUUCACAUGGUGAUUCUCUUUAAAACAUAUCCUCUCAAUAUUUAGAGAGCUAUAGUAAAUAUUCCAAUUAUUUGGAAUUAACCAUAACCCACUUGCUAAAUAUUCCAACGCCUUUGUUAUCUUAAUUCUUGGUCUCCAACCUUGCCGAUAAUUUCUUUUAUCAUAUUCCGGAGCUCCAUCAAAAAUCCCAACAUUUUUGGACACUUCAAAAACCAAGUCCUAGUUCAAACCCAUUUGAAUUAAAUUCAAAUGAGUUUGAAUUUAAAUAUUUCAAUCGUGGCCUUUCUAUUUUUCUUGGAACGAGCAUAUUUUUGCGAGUCCGGGAAAAAUUAUCCCCAUGCGCAAAUCUUUCCCUAACCCUCUCUUUCUUUUCCUCUCUUUAUUUCUUUUCUGAUAGAGAUUUGUGAGAAAGAGCCCAGCCUAACCAACAAACCAGGCCGACCCAUUUGCCUGGAGGUCCAGCCCACCUAACCCCUUCCUAACCCUAGCCCGAGCGCUCCCAUCGAUCAUUUCCCCUCCUCGUCCCCUUCCGCCGCCAGCCACUCGUCCCGAUCGGGAUCGUCCUCGAUCCCCAUCUCCCCUGAUCUCUCCCUCGUCUCCCGUUCGAGCGCCGCCAGGAGAGGAGAGCCCCAGCGCCCGUCCCCAACUCCUCCCGAUCCCCUCAUCCUCUCCCUCUCAUCUUAUCCCGAGCUGCCGCCCUGUUGCAUCGCCGCCCCACCACCGAGCACCGCCUCUCUGCGCGGCUCCUUCCCCGCGGCCUCAAGCCCCUCGCCGGAGCUGCACCCAAGCCGCGCUGCCGGCCAAGCCCCUCGACCCACCGACCAGAGCCGCGCCCGUCCGCCUCGGAGCCGGCCUCCACCGCCUCCUCCCUCACCUACCGCGUCCUCUUCCACCUCGCGCGACCUCCUGCCUCGUCCUCGUCCCGUGCCUCUCCACCUCCUCGCGCCGACCGCUCGCCCUCCUACUGUGCCCACCGCCUGUCAUGGCCUGCGAGGCCAUCAGCUUUGCCGCGACCCUGUUCGCGUGAAGCCCCUGCUCCACCACCAUCGCCUCCUUGCUGCUGGCAUCCCGAGGUCCUUGUGUUGUUGUGCGUUGGACCGUCAAGGAUGCGCCAAGAUCGACUACAUGGACGCUAAGACCACACCAGGACCGCCAAGCAUCGUUCCGGGAGUUUUCCCCAAGUACCACUACGGUCGUCAUCCGCCAAGUACCCCUUCGGAUCACCAAGUUCAACUACCAUCGGCGCUAACCGCUUCCGAGACAUGUACCCCUACCGUCGACCCGCGAAGACCCCGUGGACUCAAGUUCCUUGUGGUGACCCCGAACAUCUACGGAUCAUGAACAACUACUUCAUCUGCAAAACGUGAAAAACUACUUCCACUACGAACAUGUACAACUACCGUCGCCACGUGAACAACGACUUCCACUACGCCGUGUACGACUACUUCCCACGACGACCCGUGAACGUCUACGAGAUGUACCACUACCGUCGGCCCGUGAACGACUACUUCCCUCUACGAAACGCGAACCGUCCCGUUUGAACGCUUCGAAGGUAUAACCCGAAACGACCGCUGAGACGACCUUUCGAGAAUGCAUGUGUGUUGUAUGAGAUGCUCGUGUUUGCACCGUGUCUGAGAGAGGUCUUUGCAUGUUCGUCAUUUGCCAUGCCGUCGACCCGUGGGAACCCGAUAGUCGGGAGUAACCCACCAUAUUUUGCAUGUUCCGCACAUCCGCACACUUUCUUUUGCACCGACAUCUCAACGAGUUGUCGGAUCACCGGAAUGUUGUCGUGGCACCAUUUCCGUUGUAGUUGCCGUGGCACCCUUUCGUUCCUCCAUGGCGACAAAUGCUUCAUAACAUGCUUAUGUCAACAUUUUUAUAAAAAAAUUGCAUAUAACUUGCAUAUGUCAUCCGCAUCAUGAUAACAACAAUUAAAAUGUUUAAAAUUGUUGCUUGCUUUAAAUUGCUAAAUAACAUGGGGAUUUUCCGGAAGUGUUGUUUGUGUUUCCGGCCUCAUUUAAACUUGCCUAAAUAUGUAGUUUAAUUAUGCUUCACCUCUUGCCAUGUUAACCAACAUUUAAUCUUGUCUUGUUCAUAACUGAGAGAGAAACUAAAUAAUUGAUGUGGUGUUCCGUCAAUAUGCAACUCGUUGCAUAUUGAGCUCCACUUAAUUUGUAGUAUUGUUUGUGCACUUUGCCAUGCCAUGCCUCAUUAAACCGGACAUGCAUCAUACUUGUUUGUGCAUCAUGACAUGUUUAUGCUUGUGUGUUUACCAUGUUGUUUGCUUCUUUCCGGUUUGCUUCUCUCAUUAGCUUCGGUUUCAUUCCGGAGUUGUGAGGAUUCGUUCGACUACGUGCGUUUGUCUUCUUCAUGGACUCGUUCUUCUUCCUAGCGGGAUCUCAGGCAAGAUGAUCAUACCCUCGAAAUCACUACUAUCUUUGCUAUGCUAGUUUGCUCGCUCUUUUGCUAUGCCAAUGCUACGAUGCCUACCAUUUGCUUCUCAGCCUCCCAAAUUGCCAUGUCAAACCUCUAACCCACCAUGUCCUAGCAAACCGUUGUUUGGCUAUGUUACCGCUUUGCUCAGCCCCUCUUAUAGCGUUGUUAGUUGCAGGUGAAGAUGAAGUUUGUUCCUUGUUGGAACAUGGAGAUGUUGUUCCUUGUUGGAACAUGUUUACUUGUUGGGAUAUCACAAUAUCUCUUAUUUAAUUAAUGCACCUAUAUACUUGGUAAAGGGUGGAAGGCUCGGCCUUAUGCCUGGUGUUUUGUUCCACUCUUGCCGCCCUAGUUUCCGUCAUACCGGUGUUAUGUUCCCGGAUUUUGCGUUCCUUACGCGGUCGGGUGAUUUAUGGGACCCCCUUGACAGUUCGCUUUGAAUAAAACUCCUCCAGCAAGGCCCAACUUUGGUUUUACCAUUUGCCUACCUAAGCCUUUUUCCCUUGGGUUCUACAGACUCAAGGGUCAUCUUUAUUUUACCCCCCCGGGCCAGUGCUCCUCCGGGUGCUGGUCCAAACCGAGCGAUGUCCGGCGCCCCCUGGGCAACCAGGGUCUAUGCCAACCCGUCGUCUUGCUCAUCCGGUGUGCCCUGAGAACGAGAUAUGUGCAGCUCCUAUCGGGAUUUGUUGGCACAGCGGGUGGUCUUGCUGGUCUUGUUUUACCAUUGUCGAAAUGUCUUGAUGUACCGGGAUACCGAGUCUGAUCGGAGUGUCUUGGGUGAAGGUCUAUUCCUUCGUUGAUCGUGAGAGCUUGUCAUGGGCUAAGUUGGGACACCCCUAUAGGGUUAUAAACUUUCGAGAGCCGUGCCCGCGGUUAUGUGGCAGAUGGGAAUUUGUUAAUGUCCGGUUGUAGAUAACUUGACACCAGAUCCGAAUUAAAAUACAUCAACCGUGUGUGUAACCGUGAUGGUCUCUUCUCGGCGGAGUCCGGGAAGUGAACACGGUGUUGGAGUUAUGUUUGACAUAGGUUGCUAUAGGAUCACUUCUUGAUCAUACUUUUAUCGACCGUGGUUUGCCUUCUCUUCUCGCUCUCAUUUGCGUAUGUUAGCCACCAUUUAUGCUAGUCGCUUGCUGCAGCUCCACCUCAUGCCUUUACCUUACCCAUAAGCUUAAAUAGUCUUGAUCUCGCGGGUGCGAGAUUGCUGAGUCCCCGUGGCUCACAGAUACUUCCAAAACCAGUUUGCAGGUGCCUAUGUUACCGAGCAGGUGACGCAACCAAGCUCAAGGAGGAGCUCGACGAAGAUCUUGCCCUUUGUGUUGUUUCGUUCUAGUUGAUCAGUAGUGGAGCCCAGUUGGGGUCGAUCUGGG